GUUUGGAACCUAUUAGCAGGAAUGAAGGCAAUAGUUAGAAUAAUGAAAACUUAUAAUUAUCUGGAAGACAGAUACCAACAUCUAGAUUCUAUUAGCUUCUUCUUAUCUCCCACACUCUCCCUUAUUUGCAAGACAUUUAAGCAAAAUUUGAUGCCUAAGAAGUCUUUGACCCAUUGUGCAAUUAAUCUUGUAUUUGCACAUGUAGUUUCAUUUACCUAGAAUAUUCCCCAGACCUUGAUCUGGAUGACACCUAAUGGAUCUUCAAGAUUCAAUUUAAAGGAAGAGGAGGGAAUAUAUAGUUGUUAAAAAUGCAUUUAGGAGCCAGAUUUCCUGUGUGUGGCCUUGUCCUGUGUCAGCUUAGCUAAAUUAGAACUGCAUUUCCCAGCAUUCCCAUCCUUGUAUAUAUGUGAGUUUCACUGUCGUGCAGGAGCUGUGGUAGCUCACCCACACUGCAAUCCAUCUGCUGACUCAACUUGCUAGUAUCGGGCAGCAGCCAGGACCACAGCUCCUCCAGCUCCUUUGUGACCUUUUCCUUCAGCUUCUUCAAAUACUGGGUUAGACACCUGCCUGGAAUAUAGUGAGUGUUAGGAUAAAGUAAACAUAGACCAGAGGAAGAAGUCAAAUACGCAUUUGCCUCAGGUGAGUAGAGGGAUGACUUCUAGUUCUAUAUUUGUCCUGUACCUGUGAAGAUAAGCUGUUGAUUUAUAUUCUCAGGGUGAAAUUCAGUACAACUUCAUUUUACAGUAAGGAUCUUGGGGCCCGCAGGAGAUUUUCUGUGAGAAAAUUGUAAGAGAGGGCCCCUGAGAAGGUAUGUGCCUUCUAUCUUUGCAGUUAUCUAUUUAGGAACAAAAUGGGAAGCAGUUGUGUGUGACGCAGUUCCCAAGCUUAACUUUUCCCUUUGGCAUCGUGAGUUGGGGGUCCUGAGAUUUUAUUUUACUUUCACAACUGGAACAGAUUUUAAAAACUUUAAAAAACAAAAAUAUGUCAGUGUCCAAAAAGUAUUAAUGCAUUACUUUUUCUUAUUUUUGUAUUGUUUAUUUUAUUUUUUAACAUUUUUAUUGACAUGAAUAUAUAGGCCAUUUUCAUUAUUUGUUUGAUUUCAUGACUAUUACCAAAAAAAUUUUGUCAUAUAGAGGAGGGAAGUAUUAAAAAGGGAUCUCUGACAUACACUUGGUAUAGGGUCCUGGUACCAAUUGUGAAAAGUAAACCCUUUCUUAUAAUCCAAAGUCACUUGGCAAAGUUUCUUCAUCUCAGGUGUCCAUUUUCUACUCACAAGGUGGUUAAACAAAAAAAGUAUAGAAAUUGGGAUCUAUCAGCAGACCUGUCCAGUUUCUAACUUGGUAAACUCUAAUUAAAUUACAGUGUUAAGCUUUACUUUUUUUUCAAAAGAAUUAGAGAAAAUGCAACUUAGAACAAUGGGCUUCAAACUAGAAUGUGCCUAUGUCUGAGUGUUCUCCUGCACAGAGAAUUUUAAGGAAAUAAAUGUUUCCAUCCUCUUUUUACAAUGGUUCUUCUCCCAUAUAUAGAAAAGUAUUAACUUGUCACCCAUCACAAAUCUUAACACAGAAUGCAUACUGGUGUGUAACAACCUCAGGGCUCCUAACAUAGGAAUACAAAUUGUAUUUUGCUUCAGGGGAAGACUCCUUUAAAAAUUAAUCAAAGCUCCUAAAAUCUUGUCUUGGCUUGUCAUACACAUAUUUGUAGCUAGAGUGAAGUUCUGCGUUAGACACAGGGUAUUUGGCCCUUGCUUAAGACUGAAUUGACAAAGUCUUAAGUAGAAUAAUGAAAGUUGUUAUUUUAAAUGUAACUAGACUAUUUGUUAAGGCUUCCACAUUUUGGGUUAUUUGAAUAUAAUCCACAGAUAAAAAUUUAAAUGAUUUCUACUGGUGUAUUUUAGUCAAUAAAGCAGUUAAAAUUUCAUGAAAAUAUAUGAAAUGUUUAUUCCUAUUACAGUAAAUCCUUAUCCUAUUUUAUCUCAUAAAUAUAAUGAUAUAUAAUACUUAUGUUUGUGAUAAUAUAAUUUGAUAUAAAAUACAAUAUUUUUCACCUCCUAAAAAUAAUAAAUAAAUAUACUUAGGGUUAUGGCUAAAAAUGUAGACAUAUGCAAGUUAAAUACACAGUUUUUCAAAUUUUUUAUAUAGCACAUUAACUAAAAUAUUUGAAGAUCAUUGGCUCUGAGAACUAGAAAAUAGCUUGAGUACUUUUCCUGAUCUGUCAUUAAUUUGCUGAGCAAUGCUGAGUAUAAUGUUUAAAGUGGGAAUCCAAAUUAUCUUUCUGUAAAAUUAUACUUUGGGAGCUGGAGAUACCUUUCAUGCCUGUAAACUGAUAUUGUCUUAAUUUUUUGUUCCCUAAGGAAGAAUAAUUUUCUUAUAAUUAAGAAUUUUCCUGUUCUAUCAUUAUAGCCUCUAAAAUAUUAAAUCUUCUUUUGUUGGUCUGGAUACUUAUAUCUAACUGAACUAGGAUAUAUUAUCUUUUUUUCAAUGUCAUCUAACACAAAAGCUGUAAUCAUUGAUUUGAGAUUUGAGCUAUGCAAAAUGGAUUAGGUUUCCAUACCCAAAAUUAUAAAAGUACUUAGAUCAUAGGCUAUUAAGUAUUUUUAGACUUCUUUUUCUUUUUAAUUUAGCUGUUUACAGUUACAACUUUCCCUAUAAGCACUGUUUUAGCUGCAUCUCAAAAGUUUGGUAUGUUGUGUCUUCAUUUUCAUUCAUCUCAAAGUAUUUUCUAUUUUUUUUGUGAUUUCUUCUUUGACUUCUUUGUUAUUUAGGUGUGCAUUGUUUAAUAUUUACAUAUUUGUGAAUAUCCCAAAUUAAUUUUGAUUAUUGACCUCUAAUUUUAUUCUAUUGUGAUUGAUAAACAUAUUUGAAUAAUUUAAAAUAUUUUCCACCUACUUUACCUUGUAUAUGGCCUUGUAUAUGGUCCAUUCUAAGAGAAUGUGCCAUGUGCACAUGAGAAGAAUGCAUAUUUUGCUAUUGUUGAGUAGAGUGUUCUAAGGAUGUUUGCAAAGUCUAGUAGGUUUAUAAAGAUGUUUAAGUCUUCUGUGUCUUCUAUUUCCUUGUUUAUUCUCUGUCAAGUUGUUCUAUUGAUUACUAAAAGUGGGGUAUUGAAAAAUCUAACUAUAUAGGUUAACUUAUAUCUCCUGAUAGAUUGAUCAUUUAUUCAACAUAAAAUGACAAUUUUUUAUAUCAGGUAACAUAUAUUACUUUAAAGUCUAUGUUGUCUGAGAUUAGGAUAUCUACUCUAGCUUUCUGAAGGUUGACAUACCUUUUUCCAUUCUUUUACUUUUAACCCAUUUGCAUCUUCAAAUCUAAAUUGUGUCUCCUGCACACAACAUAUAGCUGGAUCUUUCUAAAAAAAUCCAUUCUGAUAACCUUUGCCUUUCAAUUGGAUUGUCUAAUCCAUUCUAAUUUAAUUUCAUUAGUAAUAUAGUUAGAUUUGCAUCUGCCGUUUUACUUUUUGUUUUCUCUAUGUCUUAUGCCUUUUGUCCUAAGUAUACCUUGGCUUGUGGCAAAACCUUAUCAAUUUCUGCUUCUAUUUCACAUGAAUUUUCCCUGCUGUAUCUCUGUGUGUUCUCUCUUCUCCUUAUAAGAACUUCAGUCAUUGGAUUUAGGGCUCAUCCUAGUGCAGUAUAACCUCAACUUAUGUAAUUAUAUUUGUAAUGACCCAAUUUUAAAAUAUGAUCAUUCUGAGGUUCCAGUAGACUUGAAUUUGAGGAGAUACUAUUUAAAUGUUUCUUUUUUAAAAGAAAAGUUUGCCUUUUAAGAUAAAUAUUUUUUCACCAGUUAUGGUUGGUUUUGAAGGGGAUAGAGUUUAUGGACUUCCUCACUUUGCCAUUCUGGAAGUAAUAUCUACAUUUUAUUUCAGUCAAGGAUAACUGCAACCAAUCUCUGUUUUUGUUAGAACACAUGCUACUUAAAACAGUAUGAAGCAAUAGUAUUGAAAAUCAUUUUUUGGGGGGAAAGGAUUGAUUUGUUUCGACUGUUAGGACCCUUGAUACAUAUCUUGAGUUCUUGAAAUAUUGACAAUCAUACAAACGGGCUAUAACAUCUAUUAUAUAUUGAACACCUGUUCUAGAAGUCCCCCAGGAAUGAAACACAAUGGAGUACUUAUUACCUUAUCUAAUGUAACAACAAAUAUGUGAAGUAGAUGAUAUUAUCUCAUUUUAUAAAUAUGAAAAUUAACACUAAGAAGGCUGAGUGACUUCCCUAAUAGCUAAGUGGUGAGUCUUAAGAAGCCCUCCCUUCCUCAGCAAAAAUCCUAUGUAUGGUAUUUCAUGCUUCACCACAGGCAAUUACAAAGCAUUGUCUGGAAGCCUAGUGGUGGAAAGUUGUCCUCCUCUUAGCAGAUUUGGUGUACAGUCAAUGGACUGCAGGUUUCUGGAAUGAGUUGCAGUCAAGGACUCAAGACACUGGCAGUAGAGCAUUGAAUCAAGUGUAACCCUUUUCUAAGCUCAGGGCUCUUUGCAGCCGCACUGAUCACAGACCCGUGGAGCUGGCCUUGCCUCUACUACAUUAAGUAGCUCAUCAUAUGUACACCAGAACAUUUUAUAUCGUUAUGUGUUUGCAAAGUAGUUCCCUCUUCCAUUUCUUCUUCAUCUCCACUUAGAAAGCUGUAAUCAUCUUUUAAUACCCAGAUUUCCAUAACACCCAAGAUGGAGACUAUUAAUCUGUUCUGUGGGAUUUCAGAGCCCUUGCACAUUGUUUUAUUUUGUUGUGCAAUUACCAUAUUGCACUAUGAUUGUUGAUGUUUCUCUUUUCUGCUAAUUAAUGAACUUCUAAUAUGCAGGGAUCAAGACUUUACAUCUGGCUGGGCACAGUGGCUCACAUCUAUAAUUUCAGCACUUUGGGAGGCUGAGGCAGGUGGAUCGCUUCAGCCUAGGAGUUUGAGAAUAGUCUGGGCAAUGUAGUGAAACCCCCAUCUCUUUUACAUCUAUUUAAUGAUAGGAUUUGGGAUGUUACCUAGAAUAUGAUUGUGGAAGGAAGGAAGAAAAGAUGGAAAAUAAGUGAAAGAAGAAAUUAAUGAAUUCUUUGCUCCCUUAAAUUUGUGCUUUUGAGUGCAAUUUAAGUGCAAUUUAAUUCAGUGGUUUUACAUAUGAUAAGUUCCACAUGAGAAAACUCUUUGUCAGUCAUCCAAGAAAGAUUAUACUAGCAAAUUUAUAGGAACUAAUUAUUUUUAAAAAAGUAAUUUUUACCUGUUC
This is a long non-coding RNA of Homo sapiens (human), 5194 nucleotides long. RefSeq lists it as uncharacterized. The record is from RefSeq and is a predicted model, not a curated record. The transcript has 3 exons. Lineage: Eukaryota; Metazoa; Chordata; Mammalia; Primates; Hominidae.